RNAcentral lists this long non-coding RNA (425 nucleotides) under Ananas comosus (pineapple). Its description in RNAcentral is "long non-coding RNA (ACOM_LNC031682)". The record is from RNAcentral. Lineage: Eukaryota; Viridiplantae; Streptophyta; Magnoliopsida; Poales; Bromeliaceae.
CGAAGCAAUUGCUAAAAACAUAAUAAUAAUAAUAAUAAUAAGAAAAAAAAACUUCAAAUACCACCACUGAGUUUCAUAUUUUUUUAUUUUAGUAUUUUAUAAUUUAAAGUGUAUUAAUUUAAUACUUCGUAAUUUUAUUUUUCUAUUUUUAUUAUGCCAUCCACUAAUUUUUUUCAUUAAAUCAGUAACAAAGUUAAAACUAAAAAUGCUAAAGUGAAUAUUUGAUAAACCUAGAUAGAGUAUUUGAAGUUUUUUUGUAUAUAAUUUAUCAAAAUAUUAAUGGGGGAGUUAACGGAAAGAGAAAUAUAAAAUCAAAGGGUACUAAAUGAAUACACUUUAAACCAUAUGAUACUAAAGUGAGAACGUAUGAAACCACAAGGGUGGUUUUUGAAGCUUACCAUAAUAAUAAUAAUGUAGUUAAGAGU